AUUGAACGCUGGCGGCAUGCCUUACACAUGCAAGUCGAACGGUAACAGGUCUUCGGAUGCUGACGAGUGGCGAACGGGUGAGUAAUACAUCGGAACGUGCCUAGUAGUGGGGGAUAACUACUCGAAAGAGUGGCUAAUACCGCAUGAGAUCUACGGAUGAAAGCAGGGGAUCGCAAGACCUUGUGCUACUAGAGCGGCCGAUGGCAGAUUAGGUAGUUGGUGGGAUAAAAGCUUACCAAGCCGACGAUCUGUAGCUGGUCUGAGAGGACGAUCAGCCACACUGGGACUGAGACACGGCCCAGACUCCUACGGGAGGCAGCAGUGGGGAAUUUUGGACAAUGGGCGCAAGCCUGAUCCAGCAAUGCCGCGUGCAGGAUGAAGGCCUUCGGGUUGUAAACUGCUUUUGUACGGAACGAAAAGCCCCGGGUUAAUACCCUGGGGUCAUGACGGUACCGUAAGAAUAAGUACCGGCUAAUUACGUGCCAGCAGCCGCUGUAA
RNAcentral lists this ribosomal RNA (498 nucleotides) under uncultured bacterium. RNAcentral describes it as "partial 16S ribosomal RNA". It matches the Rfam family "Bacterial small subunit ribosomal RNA", at positions 30 to 523 of the family's 1533-position model. The record is from RNAcentral.